RNAcentral lists this ribosomal RNA (1438 nucleotides) under uncultured organism. RNAcentral describes it as "SSU rRNA". It matches the Rfam family "Bacterial small subunit ribosomal RNA". The record is from RNAcentral.
AUGAUGAACGCUAGCUACAGGCUUAACACAUGCAAGUCGAGGGGCAGCAUGGUCUUAGCUUGCUAAGGCCGAUGGCGACCGGCGCACGGGUGAGUAACGCGUAUCCAACCUGCCUUACACUCUUGGACAGCCUUCUGAAAGGGAGAUUAAUACAAGAUGUUAUCAUGAGUAAGCAUUUUCGCAUGAUUAAAGGUUUACCGGUGUAAGAUGGGGAUGCGUUCCAUUAGAUAGUAGGCGGGGUAACGGCCCACCUAGUCUUCGAUGGAUAGGGGUUCUGAGAGGAAGGUCCCCCACAUUGGAACUGAGACACGGUCCAAACUCCUACGGGAGGCAGCAGUGAGGAAUAUUGGUCAAUGGACGAGAGUCUGAACCAGCCAAGUAGCGUGAAGGAUGAAGGUUCUAUGGAUUGUAAACUUCUUUUAUACGGGAAUAAACGGAUCCACGUGUGGAUUUUUGCAUGUACCGUAUGAAUAAGGAUCGGCUAACUCCGUGCCAGCAGCCGCGGUAAUACGGAGGAUCCGAGCGUUAUCCGGAUUUAUUGGGUUUAAAGGGAGCGUAGAUGGGUUGUUAAGUCAGUUGUGAAAGUUUGCGGCUCAACCGUAAAAUUGCAAUUGAUACUGGCAGUCUUGAGUACAGUUGAGGUAGGCGGAAUUCGUGGUGUAGCGGUGAAAUGCUUAGAUAUCACGAAGAACUCCGAUUGCGAAGGCAGCUUACUAACCUGUAACUGACAUUGAUGCUCGAAAGUGUGGGUAUCAAACAGGAUUAGAUACCCUGGUAGUCCACACGGUAAACGAUGAAUACUCGCUGUAGGCGAUAUACAGUCUGCGGCCAAGCGAAAGCAUUAAGUAUUCCACCUGGGGAGUACGCCGGCAACGGUGAAACUCAAAGGAAUUGACGGGGGCCCGCACAAGCGGAGGAACAUGUGGUUUAAUUCGAUGAUACGCGAGGAACCUUACCCGGGCUUAAAUUGCAACCGAAUAUGGCGGAAACGCUAUAGCUAGCAAUAGCGGUUGUGAAGGUGCUGCAUGGUUGUCGUCAGCUCGUGCCGUGAGGUGUCGGCUUAAGUGCCAUAACGAGCGCAACCCUUGCCGAUAGUUACUAACAGGUCAUGCUGAGGACUCUGUCGGGACUGCCAUCGUAAGAUGUGAGGAAGGUGGGGAUGACGUCAAAUCAGCACGGCCCUUACGUCCGGGGCUACACACGUGUUACAAUGGGGGGUACAGAGGGCUGCUACCACGCAAGUGGAUGCCAAUCCCAAAAACCUCUCUCAGUUCGGAUUGAAGUCUGCAACCCGACUUCAUGAAGCUGGAUUCGCUAGUAAUCGCGCAUCAGCCACGGCGCGGUGAAUACGUUCCCGGGCCUUGUACACACCGCCCGUCAAGCCAUGGGAGCCGGGGGUACCUGAAGUGCGUAACCGCAAGGAGCGCCCUAGGGUAAA